AACGCUAGCUACAGGCUUAACACAUGCAAGUCGAGGGGCAGCAUUGGAGUAGCAAUACUUCAGAUGGCGACCGGCGCACGGGUGAGUAACACGUAUCCAACCUGCCGCUUACUCGGGGAUAGCCUUUCGAAAGAAAGAUUAAUACCCGAUGGUAUAAAGAGUUCGCAUGUUCUCUUUAUUAAAGAAUUUCGGUAAGCGAUGGGGAUGCGUUCCAUUAGAUAGUUGGCGGGGUAACGGCCCACCAAGUCUACGAUGGAUAGGGGUUCUGAGAGGAAGGUCCCCCACAUUGGAACUGAGACACGGUCCAAACUCCUACGGGAGGCAGCAGUGAGGAAUAUUGGUCAAUGGACGAGAGUCUGAACCAGCCAAGUAGCGUGAAGGAUGACUGCCCUAUGGGUUGUAAACUUCUUUUAUAAGGGAAUAAAGUGAGGGACGUGUCCCUUUUUGUAUGUACCUUAUGAAUAAGGAUCGGCUAACUCCGUGCCAGCAGCCGCGGUAAUACGGAGGAUUCAAGCGUUAUCCGGAUUUAUUGGGUUUAAAGGGAGCGUAGGUUGACAUAUAAGUCAGCUGUGAAAGUUUACGGCUCAACCGUGAAAUUGCAGUUGAUACUGUAUGUCUUGAGUGUACAAGAGGUGGGCGGAAUUCGUGGUGUAGCGGUGAAAUGCUUAGAUAUCACGAAGAACUCCGAUUG
Molecule: ribosomal RNA, 691 nt
Filed under: uncultured bacterium
Lineage: Bacteria
Description: bacterial SSU rRNA
Rfam family: Bacterial small subunit ribosomal RNA
Source: RNAcentral